UCUUUCCACCGUCUUCCCAUUGUCGAACCCUCAACUCUUCCCACCGUCUUCUUCGUCUCCUUGUGCGGUUCAUUUUCACCAUUCAUCAAAAUCAUCUCUUCCAUUCCUCUUUUAUUCUGCAAAAUCAACAUUGAAUCGCGACUUGUCUUCAAUAAUUUACUUGCCUGCACCCACAAACACCAUUAUCAAUGAAGAUGACGAAAAUGAUGAUGAAUUAUUUCAAGAUGACGAUGAAGGCAAUGAAUUUGAAGAGGACAACAUAGAUGCUAAAUUUGAAGAGGACGAUGUUGAUGAUAAAUAUGAAGAAGACACACUUGAAUGAUUUAGAUGAUGAUUUUAGAUUAUGGUUUCUUGAAUGAUUUAGAUGAUGAUUUUAGAUUAUGGUUUCUUGAAUGAUGUUUUUUUCAUUAGGCAUGUACUUGAUUGAAGCACCAAAACUUCAACAAACUAUAUAUUUUGCUA
Cicer arietinum (chickpea) is the source of this 462-nucleotide non-coding RNA. The record is from RefSeq and is a predicted model, not a curated record. Lineage: Eukaryota; Viridiplantae; Streptophyta; Magnoliopsida; Fabales; Fabaceae.